GGCAAGGCGCUAGAGGGUCACCUCGCCUAGCCCAGUGCCUCGCCUGGCACCUUUUCUCCCCUUUAACAACACUGGUUGUUAUUAGUGUGAAAUUAGUAAUCAAUCCUUCUCUGUCUCUAUCUCAUUCUUUUUUUUCCCCUCACUAGUCUCUUGGAUACUUACGAUCGAGAAAUCACUAGUAUCAUUAGAUCUCUUGAGCCUACCAAGAGAUGUCACAUACCUUAGGCGAG
RNAcentral lists this unclassified non-coding RNA (230 nucleotides) under Hevea brasiliensis (rubber tree). The record is from RNAcentral. Lineage: Eukaryota; Viridiplantae; Streptophyta; Magnoliopsida; Malpighiales; Euphorbiaceae.